AGAAUCAACGCUGGCGGCGUGCCUAACACAUGCAAGUCGAACGAGAAAGUGGAGCAAUCCAUGAGUAAAGUGGCGACCGGGUGAGUAACACGUGACUAACCUACCUUUGAGUGGGGGAUAACAUCGGGAAACCGAUGCUAAUACCGCAUAACAUCGCAAGAUCAAAGCAGCAAUGCGCUUAAAGAGGGGGUCGCGGCUGAUUAGCUAGUGGCGGGUAACGCCACAAGCGAAGAUCGGUA
Molecule: ribosomal RNA, 239 nt
Filed under: uncultured bacterium
Lineage: Bacteria
Description: partial small subunit ribosomal RNA
Rfam family: Bacterial small subunit ribosomal RNA
Source: RNAcentral